This 72-nucleotide transfer RNA is filed under the name Ornithorhynchus anatinus (platypus). It matches the Rfam family "tRNA". From Rfam's summary of the family: Transfer RNA (tRNA) molecules are approximately 80 nucleotides in length. Their secondary structure includes four short double-helical elements and three loops (D, anti-codon, and T loops). Lineage: Eukaryota; Metazoa; Chordata; Mammalia; Monotremata; Ornithorhynchidae. The record is from Rfam by way of RNAcentral.
AGCAGUGUGGCUCAGUGGAAAGAGCCUGGGCUUUGGAGUCAGAGGUCAUGGGUUCGCAUCCCGGUUCUGCCA